Molecule: long non-coding RNA, 920 nt
Organism: Cephus cinctus (wheat stem sawfly)
Lineage: Eukaryota; Metazoa; Arthropoda; Insecta; Hymenoptera; Cephidae
Exons: 3
Source: RefSeq, a predicted model, not a curated record
GAGGAUCUCCAGGAGUCACGUACCCAUUCGCUAAGGAACGCUCUCAAUUUGGUUUAAAGGGACGACUCGAGGGAAAAGCUAAGAGUUAUCGGCUAUAUGGAUCUCGACCAAUCAGAAUGAUUGGUUCACGAAUUAGACUAUUGUCAAUUUACUGCUUUAAAGCAGUCUGUCUUGGGACACCGAUCGGGGUGCCUCGAGCUGCCUCGCGCUCCCGGGCUGUUUGUUGACAGUUUUUCUAGCUGUGUUUUCUGUACGGUAUUAAAAGUUUUCUCGUUGCUCUCGCUAUAUACAGAAAAUCCUACCCAUUUUUCGCGUGUGUUUCGGAGGUGCAGUGCUGUGCUAUAGCAGCCCACCUGAGUAUCCUCUGAAUGCAAUUCUCGGUCUUCACGGAUCAGCUGAACCAGCUUCGCCUCAAAAGUUUCGAAUCGACAAACUUCUGGCGGCUGUUUGCACUCGGUCCUGAGGCCAUUCAGCAUCCCGAAGAGAUCUGGACCUGCCGCCGAAAUUCGUCAUCUCGUACUUUACUGGUGAUAAAAAUCGCGUAGAUGGAAUUUUGAUGCAAGAUCAGCUGGAUCCAGCAUCUUCGCUUAAAUCCUUAUUCACCGAUACACUCGCACUUGGAUCGUACCUCUUGGCGAAGUCCCGGAAGUCUAGGACGCCGCCCACGUGGUCUUAUCGGUAUCGUUGAGAAAUGAGAGGGCGGAUUGAUAAGGAAGCCAAUGGAUACAGAGGGAGCAGAGAUAAGGAUGGAAGAGUAAGAUUCGAAUGAACAGGAAGGAGACUCUUGAAAAAUGGCGAAACUGUGCGAAAAGGAAGUCUGCUUCGGAGGCCAACAUAAUUGGCUGGUUCUUGGAUGACAAACAACCUGCUACUAGGACUGCUUUGCCUUCUAUUUGUCACCGAGGAGAAGGUAGUUCAAC